AGUGAACGCUGGCGGUAGGCCUAACACAUGCAAGUCGAACGGCAGCACAGAGGAGCUUGCUCCUUGGGUGGCGAGUGGCGGACGGGUGAGGAAUACAUCGGAAUCUACUCUGUCGUGGGGGAUAACGUAGGGAAACUUACGCUAAUACCGCAUACGACCUACGGGUGAAAGCAGGGGAUCUUCGGACCUUGCGCGAUUGAAUGAGCCGAUGUCGGAUUAGCUAGUUGGCGGGGUAAAGGCCCACCAAGGCGACGAUCCGUAGCUGGUCUGAGAGGAUGAUCAGCCACACUGGAACUGAGACACGGUCCAGACUCCUACGGGAGGCAGCAGUGGGGAAUAUUGGACAAUGGGCGCAAGCCUGAUCCAGCCAUACCGCGUGGGUGAAGAAGGCCUUCGGGUUGUAAAGCCCUUUUGUUGGGAAAGAAAUCCAGCCGGCUAAUACCUGGUUGGGAUGACGGUACCCAAAGAAUAAGCACCGGCUAACUUCGUGCCAGCAGCCGCGGUAAUACGAAGGGUGCAAGCGUUACUCGGAAUCACUGGGCGUAAAGCGUGCGUAGGUGGUUAUUUAAGUCCGUUGUGAAAGCCCUGGGCUCAACCUGGGAACUGCAGUGGAUACUGGAUGACUAGAAUGUGGUAGAGGGUAGCGGAAUUCCUGGUGUAGCAGUGAAAUGCGUAGAGAUCAGGAGGAACAUCCAUGGCGAAGGCAGCUACCUGGACCAACAUUGACACUGAGGCACGAAAGCGUGGGGAGCAAACAGG
This 759-nucleotide ribosomal RNA is filed under the name uncultured Stenotrophomonas sp. RNAcentral's name for it is "bacterial SSU rRNA". It matches the Rfam family "Bacterial small subunit ribosomal RNA", at positions 28 to 776 of the family's 1533-position model. Lineage: Bacteria; Pseudomonadati; Pseudomonadota; Gammaproteobacteria; Lysobacterales; Lysobacteraceae. The record is from RNAcentral.